CCCUUAGAUGUUCUGGGCCGCACACGCGCUACACUGAAGGAGGCAGCGUGUACUCCUGGAUCGAAAGAUUUGGGUAACCCGCGAAUCUCCUUCGUGCUAGGGAUUGAGGUUUGCAAUUAUCCUUCAUGAACGAGGAAUUCCCAGUAAGUGCAAGUCAUAAGCUUGCGCUGACUACGUCCCUGCCCUUUGUACACACCGCCCGUCGCUACUACCGAUUGAUUGAUUUAGUGAGGACUUCGGACUGGGACCGAUGCGGCUUUCGGGCUGCGUCGGUAUUCUGGAAAGAUGUCCAAACUGUAUCAUUUAGAGGAAGUAAAAGUCGUAACA
RNAcentral lists this ribosomal RNA (327 nucleotides) under uncultured eukaryote. RNAcentral's name for it is "partial 18S ribosomal RNA". It matches the Rfam family "Eukaryotic small subunit ribosomal RNA", at positions 1470 to 1796 of the family's 1831-position model. The record is from RNAcentral.